RNAcentral lists this ribosomal RNA (1325 nucleotides) under metagenome. Its description in RNAcentral is "bacterial LSU rRNA". It matches the Rfam family "Bacterial large subunit ribosomal RNA", at positions 1622 to 2925 of the family's 2925-position model. The record is from RNAcentral.
UGUGUGUACUUCUGUGGUGACCGUACCGUAAACCGACACAGGUGGGCGGGAAGAAUAUUCCAAGGCGCUUGAGAGAACUCUCCUUAAGGAACUAGGCAAAAUGACACCGUAACUUCGGGAGAAGGUGUGCCUCCUGUAGGUAAGGACCCAUGCGGUCCAAGCCGAUGGAGGUUGCAGAGAAUCGGGGGUAGCGACUGUUUAUCAAAAACACAGCACUCUGCUAAGUCGCAAGACGAUGUAUAGGGUGUGACGCCUGCCCGGUGCCGGAAGGUUAAAGGGAGCUGUCAGCCGCAAGGCGAAGCAGCGAACUGAAGCCCCGGUAAACGGCGGCCGUAACAAUAACGGUCCUAAGGUAGCGAAAUUCCUUGUCGGGUAUGUUCCGACCUGCACGAUGGCGUAACGACUUCCCCACUGUCUCAAGGAGAGACUCAGCGAAGUAGCAAUAGGGGUGAAGAUGCCCUUUACCCACAGCAAGACGGAAAGACCCCGUGAACCUUUACUAUAACUUGGCACUGAUUGACGGUUAUGUCUGCGUAGGAUAGGUGGGAGGCUUUGAAGCGGGGACUCCGGUCUCUGUGGAGCCAACCUUGAAAUACCACCCUGAUGUAACUGGCAAUCUAACCUACACCCGUGAUCCGGGUGGGAGACAGUGCCUGGCGGGUAGUUUGACUGGGGCGGUCGCCUCCCAAAGAGUAACGGAGGCGCACGAAGGUUCCCUCAGCCCGAUUGGAAACCGGGCGACGAGUGUAAUGGCAUAAGGGAGCUUGACUGCGAGACGUACAUGUCGAGCAGGUGCGAAUGCAGGUCAUAGUGAUCCGGUGGUUCCACAUGGAAGGGCCAUCGCUAAACGGACAAAAGGUACUCCGGGGAUAACAGGCUUAUCACGUCCAAGAGUUCACAUCGACGACGUGGUUUGGCACCUCGAUGUCGGCUCAUCGCAUCCUGGGGCUGAAGUCGGUCCCAAGGGUUUGGCUGUUCGCCAAUUAAAGCGGUACGCGAGCUGGGUUCAAAACGUCGUGAGACAGUUUGGUCCCUAUCUGUUGUGGGCGCAGGAGUUUUGAGAGGAGCUGUCCUUAGUACGAGAGGACCGGGAUGGACGGACCUCUGGUGUUCCGGUUGUCGCGCCAGCGGCACUGCCGGGUAGCCACGUCCGGACGGGAUAACCGCUGAAAGCAUCUAAGCGGGAAGCCCCCCUCAAGAUGAGAACUCCCUGAGACUUCGGUCUCCUAAAGACCCCUCGUAGACCACGAGGUCGAUAGGCUGGGUGUGGAAGUGCAGCAAUGUACGGAGCUAACCAGUACUAAUCGGUCGUGCGGCUUGGUCAC